Molecule: ribosomal RNA, 440 nt
Filed under: uncultured bacterium
Lineage: Bacteria
Description: partial 16S ribosomal RNA
Rfam family: Bacterial small subunit ribosomal RNA
Source: RNAcentral
CCUACGGGUGGCAGCAGUGGGGAAUAUUGCACAAUGGGGGAAACCCUGAUGCAGCUACGCCGCGUGAGUGAAGAAGUAACUCGUUAUGUAAAGCUCUAUCAGCAGGGAAGAAAAUGACGGUACCUGAGUAAGAAGCCCCGGCUAACUACGUGCCAGCAGCCGCGGUAAUACGUAGGGGGCAAGCGUUAUCCGGAUUGACUGGGUGGAAAGGGAGCGUAGACGGCAGUGCAAGUGAGUUGUGAAAUCCCUCGGCUUAACUGAGGAACUGCAACUAAAACUACUUCCGUUGAGUACUGGAGAGGAAAGUGGAAUUCCUAGUGUAGCAGUGAAAUGCGUAGAUAUUAGGAAGAACACCAGUGGCGAAGGCGACUUUCUGGAAAGUAACUGACGUUGAGGCACGAAAGUGUGGGGAGCAAACAGGAUUAGAUACCCGUGUAGUC